CCAAAAUGAGUUUCUUCUGCAACUGCAGCAAUCUCUCUACUUCCUUCUUCCUCCUCAUCUUCAUCAAUGCAACCAUUUUCGAAAUCCGAAACAGCUGCCCCUAUACCGUCUGGGCAGCCGCCUUACCCGGCGGCGGAAGGUAACUCGACCAAGGCCAGACCCGGAACCUUUCAGUGAGCUCCAACACAACCCAAGGCCACAUCUGGGGCAGAACCAAGUGCAGUUUCGAUGAAGCCGGAAGGGGGAACUGCGAGUCCGGUGGAUGUGGAGGCCUCCUUGAAUGCCAAGAAUAUGGUUCACCGCCCAACACCAUUGCCGAGUACGCCAUAAACCAAUUCAACAAAACUGAUUUCUUCGAUAUUUCUCUGGUGGUUGGAUUCAACCUUCCAAUGGAGUUUAGCCCAACUUCUGAUGGGUGCAAACGUGGGGUCAAGCGUACGUGCGACAUUAACGGGCCGUGCCCAAACGAGUUGAGGGACCCGGGUGGGUGUAACAACCCAUGUACCGUUUUCAACAAUACUCAGUACUGUUGCAAUACCGGGAGCUGUUAGCCUACACCUUCAUGUUUUUCAAGGCUAGCUGCCCAGAUGUAUACAGUUACCCUUUGGGAGAUGAUUCAAUCGGUACGUUUACCUGCGCCGCAUGCACUAACUAUCGUAUAGUCUUCUCCGAGUUUUGGGGUAGCCCAAAGUUUAAACCUUUUUGCAAAACUUACAAUCAAACUCGUCCUUUUUAUUAUCACCUAGAGUCAUAUUAUGUUUUUUUUUUCAAAAUUUAAGUUGAAAAUUUUAUUUUUGAAUUGAAGCCAUAAUUAAUAACCAAGACUUCAUUUUGAACGGAAACCUCAUUUGAUAAGUGAGACUUAGUUUUUUAAUUAAAACCUCAUUUUGACAAUUAAAACUUCAUUUAUUAAACUAAAACCUUAAUUGUGACUUUAGUUAUUUUUUUUACUUUAAAAUUUAAUUAAAAAUAUUAAAUUUCAAAUUAUUAUUGAAAUUAAAAAUAUUUACUUUAAUAAUAAAAAAUUAUAUAUUUAAGUUUAAGGAUUCAACAUUAUUCUAAUAAAGAUAAAUUGAUAAAUAAAAUAAAUAAAUGAAUAAUUUUAUUUAUCAAUAAAUUAAUAAUUUUAAAAUAAUAAAGUUAUAUAAUAUAUAAAUAAAAUAUAAAAUUAUAUAAUUUAUUAAUUUAAGUUAUAUUACAAAUACUAUAUGUUACCGGGCAACUAAAAAGGAAGAAAGUUAUGUAUAGGUUCUCUCUUUGUAAAGACACGUAAGAUUAUAUAAUUUUCUUUUUUACUAUAUGAAUAUUUAGUAAACAAUUUUUGUGACAUAGAUGAAACUACUAAAACUUAUAUUUUGUAGUAAACAUUUUUUAAUUAAUUUUAUUAGCUAAUUUUAAAAUGUAUCUUCAAGGCAUAUAUGUUGUGGGUAUAAAUAAUAAUUUUUUUUUAAUGAAAAAUUAUAAACAUAUACUUUAAAAUAAUAAUAAAAUCUAUAUAUAAAAGCUUAAGAAUAUACUAUUAUUUUAAUAAAGAUAAAUUUGUGAAAAUACAAAUAAAUUAAUAUCUUAAAAAUAAAACAAAUUAAAUAUCUUAAAUUAAUAAAUUAUAUAAUUUUAUAUCUUAUUAUAUUUAUCAAUUUAUCUUUAAACCUAAGUCCUAAGUCCAAGGUUUAAAUAUUUUAUUAUAUUUAUUAAUUUAUCUUUAUUGAAGUAAUACUAGAUUUUUAAGUUUAAACAUAUAAUUAAUUUAUUAUUAAAGUAUAUAUUUUUAAUUUCAACAAUAAUUUAUAAUUUAAUAUUUUAAUUAAAUUUUAAAGUAAAAAAAUAAUUAAUUGAAGCUUCAAUUGAAAAUUAAGACUUUAAUAAAAAAAUGAAGUCUCAAUUAUCAAUUGUGAAUUCAAUUUAAAAAUGAGGUAUGAUUUGACAAUUAAGGUUUCAGUUUAUAAAUGAAACCUUAAUUGUCAAUUGUGGUUUUAGUUCAAAAAUAAACCCUCAAUUGAUAAUUGAGGUUUUACUUAAAUUUUAAAAUAUAUAUAUAUUAUGAUACGACUCUUAUGUGACAAUAAAGGACUAGUUUGAACAUAAAUUUUAUAAAAAUGUUAAAUCUUACAUUUCUUUUUAUACAAGCUUAUUUAUUUUUGUUUCUUAAAAAAAAAAAAAUUAUCAGCUUCCCUUGAUAAGAUUUGAGGAAAAACAAAGAUGAGGUAGGAUUGGCUCUUCCAUGCCUCUAAGUCGAGCACCAUCUUUUAGAUUUUAACAAAGCUUAUUGCUAAAAUAUUUUCAUUUAGGGUCAUUAACUUUAACUUAGGGUUCAUCGAGGAACUUUUUCAGAAAUAAUUCUUAAAAAGUAAUUCUCAAGAAUAACUUUUAAAAAUAAUAUUUUAAUAUUUUUAAAAUAAAAAGUUUUGAAGAGCUUAGAAUAUUGUCAAUUUUUUUUUAUAUUUUUAAAUAUUUCUUAAAAAUAAUUCCUAUUUAUAAUACCUUAUUUUAAGACAUUCUUCGUGUUUAUUCAAUAAUUCCUAAAAAGUAAUUAAAAUAUAAUAUAUGUAAAAAAAAUCACUUUUCAUAGUUUUAGUUUUAAAUUUAUAAUUAACAAUCGAAUGUGUUUUUAUACUUUUUUUAUUCUAAAAACCAAAAAGAUAAAUCCUUAAUAGAAAUUUUCAAACAUUGUUUUAGUGUCCCACCCCAAGUCCACCUUCGCUCUAUAUAAACUCCUAGCCAUUUCCUCACGGACCACCCCAAACCAUAAAGCCCAUCUUCCUGAAAAAAUGGGCCUCUUCAAAACCCCUUUAAUUUCCUCAUUCCUUCUCACCACCCUAUUCUUCGCCUCCUGCCACGCAGCCACGCUGAUCAACAUCCAAAACCAUUGCUCCUACACAGUUUGGGCGGCGGCGGUACCAGGUGGGGGCAGGCAGCUUGGUCCGGGCCAAUCCUGGAGCCUCGAUGCGAACCCUGGCACAGCCCGUGUGUGGGCACGUACCAACUGCACCUUUGAUGGGUCAGGGAACGGGACGUGUGAGACCCGAGAUUGUGGUGGCCGCCUCCAAUGCCAAGCCUAUGGUACACCCCCUAACACCUUGGCCGAAUUCGCACUUAACCAAUUCAACAACAUGGACUUCUUCGAUAUAUCUUUGGUUGAUGGAUUUAAUGUGCCCAUGGCUCUUAAUUCUACUUCCAAUGGGUGCACCCGUGGCAUCCAAUGCAGCGCCGACAUAGUCGGACAGUGCCCUGAUGAGCUCCGAGCUCCCGGUGGUUGCAACAAUCCAUGCACUGUUUUCAGGACCGAUGAAUAUUGUUGUUAUUCUGGGAACUGUGGCCCUACAACUUACUCCAAGUUUUUCAAGGAUAGGUGUCCGGUGGCUUAUAGCAACCCUAAUGAUGAUCAAACAAGCACCUUUACAUGCCCUGGUGGUACUAACUAUGAUGUUAUCUUCUGCCCAUGAUGCCUCUACUAGUCCUGUUAGACGAUUUGGUACCAUCUUGGGAUCCAAAUGUCUAGAAGAAUAAAUUUGAGCACAUGUCCAUGUCCAUAGUCAUGUAAUAAGAUUUCUACCAUCAUAGAAAUCGAAUGAUUUUCAGAGGGGUUAGAAGCUUUGAAUAAUGUUUAAAUGUGCUUUACUUAUAAAAGUUUAGAACUAAUUCUUCAUAAAAAUAAUUUUGUCCAAGUGUUAUUGUUUAAGAGUUUAUUUGAUAUUGAAUUAUGAAAGUAUUUUGAAUUAUUUUAACAUUUAAAAAAUAAUUUUUCUUUAAAUAUUAAAAAAUUUAAAAAUGCUUCUUAUAAUUAUUAUCAAAUAAACUCUAAAUACUAUAUAUUAAAAACAUAAUUACUAGAAUGACCUCUAAAUGAAUUCAUAUUUUAAGUACACCGAGAAUGAUAGAAUUCAGUAAUGGUGUUUUAAAUUAAAUUGGUAAAUAUUUUGGGAUUUUCCAUUUGAAUAAUUUUUAGAAGUGAAUAAAUUAUUUUUCAGCUCUAACAUAAACAAAUCCUGUUAUUGUGGUGUGGAAAAACCUUUGCUCAAGAGUCAAGAGCGGUGGUGGAGGCUUGAGUUACGUACCCAAGUUGAAUUUUUGUAAAAGGAUGUGGAGGAGUAGAGUACAAGGAAAAUUGAUUUGCGGACAAGACCAGUUAGUUAGUGAAGCUUGAUUAAAGUCGAAGUUUUGGUGUUUUCUCCCAAGACUUCCUUUGUAGUGGUCCAAAAAAUUGGUAAGGAAAUAUGACAGACAUCGAAAGAGGAUUUGGCUAAAAGUCAAUAACUAUUUGGAGCUAUGUUCCCUUCUCGGGGCGAUGGCGUUUGCUAGUAAUCUUUGACUCGCUCUUCCCCGUAGCUUCCAUAGCAGUCCAAACCGGUUGCUUGUUCAAGGAAAACACCGUAUAAAUAAGAGGGAAGUGGCUAAAAGUCUAACUAAUUAAAAUCGUAGUCAUUUAUUGUGUGGAAUAGCGGGACACAUACGUAUUGAAGUUGAACUUGUCCAUCAAUUAAAUCUAAUACAAUUUUCUUUUUCAAUCCAACUAUUACGUAAUAAAUUUUAAAUUUCAAAUAUAUUUGCUUUUAAAAUUUACUCAAACCAAUUUAAUAACUUACAAAUAACUAAUUCAAUAACUUGGACUUCUUUAAUAUAGUAUUGUCCAAGCAUAUAUUUGAUAUGUCUUUAAUUUAUUUUUAAUUGUGCUUCUAAGCUACGUUUGGUUCUCGAAAAAUUUGAGAGAAAAUUUAAAAGAAAAAAAUUACAGAUGAAAAAAAAUAAAAAAUAGUUUAAAUAUAAUAAAUUAUAUUUGAUUUGAUUUUCUAUUUUUUUUUAUAGUGAAACAAAAUAUGAGAAAACCAUUUUUAUUAAUAUUUUUUUUCUUUAGAACACUUUCCAACAUAACUUACCAUUUAUUUUUUUGGUCAUGCAAAAGUUGAUGUAAAAAAUAUAGUUAGUCUCUCUUAUAUCAUUCAUUUGAAAUUGAGUAGAUUAAUGGUGUUUGUUUUUUUGGUUUUUUACUUAAAGCAAUUUAGUUUUAGAAUUUAGGUUGUUUGUUUUUCUACUUUUUCAUGACUUAUUAUAAACUUUUUACUAAAUAGAAAAAGUCAAAAUAUGUAGCUUUUUCUAAGUAGGAAAAAUAACAUAUUGAUUUUUUUUACUUUUUAAUACUUAAUAGAAAUAAAAUACUACAAAAACAAAUAACCUAAUAUUUAACACUAUUAAGCAUUAAGGUUCUAUUUAGAAUUAAGUAAAAAAACAAACAUCAUCUUCACACUAAGUAAUAACCCUAUAUUAGUCCUAAUAAGUAAUAAAAUUCCUCUACUAAUACAUGGUAUGGAUAAAAUAUUUACUAAAUUAACAACAUGAAUGUAAGUAAUUUAGAUAUUAGUAGGAUAUAUUUUUGUCUUAAUUAUUUAAAAAUAUAAACAUAUUUAUAUUAGGUUCUUGCUUUUUAUAAAUAUUAAUUCAACAUUUUUAGUAAUUUUUUUUUUAAAUUUAAUAAUUACAUAACCAAAAGUAAAAAAAAAAAAAAAUCAUUUUAUGAUGAUUUUUUGUCAAUUUUCAAUGAUUUCUUUCUAGUUCUUUGUUUUCAGUAGGUUAUUGAGUUAAUAAAGAAAUAAUGAAAUAUAAUGUGAUUGGGUUUUGGGUAUUUUUUUUUUUUAUAAUUUGUUUAAAAAAAAUUAGAUAAUAAAAAUAUCAUAUAUAUAUAUUUUGUUAUAAAAUUUUUAAAAGGAAAAAAAUUGUUGCUAAAUAUGAUUUUCAAAAACAUUUAUCACAAUUUUAAUUCAAAAAAUUGAAAAAUAAAAGUGUAAUGGAAGAUACUACUAAUGUAGUACAAGCAAUAAAUAUUUUUACCCUUAGUUGUGAAAAAUAUAGAGGAAAGAAAUUUUAUGAUGUCUGUUUCUAGAAGGUUGUAGGAAACCUGUUUGCCACGCCAGCCUAUUAAUAUUUUCUUCUUCGAAAAUUAAGAAAUUAUGGCAUUUUUUUAAAAAAAAAUUAUGCUUAAAAAUAGUUUUUUAUUUAGAAUAUAAAACUUAAAUUUAAAGAAAUUGAGAAUAUAUUCUAAAACUGAAUUAUCUUUUAGAAUAAAUUUAAGGGUUUUUUUUUAUUAUGUUCUAUUAAAUAAUAAUUAUUAAAAAUAUGAAAAUUAUUUUUUUUUAAAAAUAUAUUAUAUAUGUGUAUGUCAACUUUAAGAAAAAUAAAUAAAUAAAUAAAUAUAUAUAUAUAUAUAUAUAUAUAUAUUUUAUGUCUGAGAUUUUAAACAAAAUUUUAUUUAUAAAAAUAAUUAAAAAUUAUGUUUUGCCUAACAUGCCUAUGUUCUAGUCGUCUACGGAGUUGGUUCGGGAUGGCAGUGGAAAAUAUACUUUAGAUAUUUUCUCUUCUCUAUAGUCAGAUGCUUCUGCGUAUUUUAAAUGGUAAAGACCAAAACUCAAUUAUGAUAUUAUCGAAAAUAGACCCAGUCCAAAGUGGUCAUUCAUACUGGCAUAGUUCCAGGAAGGUGAUCAACAUCAGGGCUGUCUCAUUCAAGAAAGGAAAUUUGCACCCACGUUUUCUAGAUACAUUCCUACUGUUCUGAUGAUUCGGUAUGCACGAAUUUAUGCAAAGGUUAGGCAGAUUUCUGAAAAUAAUAAAAAUGGUAAUGAAGUGGACCCUUCUCUCUGUAAAAUAUUUUAAAUAAAAAAUACUUAUUUUUCUAAAAAUAAGUAUUUUCAAUAUGUAAUAUAUGUUUUAAAAAAAAAAAUUAAUUUACAAGCUUAUUUAUUUUUAUUUCUUAAAAAUAUUAUCGGCUUUUGUUGAUAAGAUUUGAGGAAAGAAAAAGGGCCACCUCACAUCGACUCUUCCAUGCCCGCAGGCCCCAACGAAGUCGACCACAAAGAUGACGCUAUCUUUUGGAAUUUUUACAGGGAGGUUUUUUCACAUACACACCAACCCAAGCCCACCUUCACCCUAUAAAAACCCCCACCCGGUUCCUCACAGAUCACCCCACUCCAACCAUCAAGCCUAUAUAUCUUCCGAAACUCAACAAUGGGCCUCUGCAAAAUCCUCUCCAUUUCCUCAUUCCUUCUCACCACCCUAUUCUUCACCUCCAGCUAUGCAGCUACGUUCAACAUCCAAAACCAUUGCUCCUACACGGUUUGGGCUGCGGCAGUCCCAGGCGGGGGCAUGCAGCUUGGCUCAGGCCAAUCCUGGAGCCUCAAUGUGAAUGCCGGCACCACUGGAGGCCGUGUUUGGGCCCGUACCAACUGCAACUUCGAUGCGUCAGGGAAUGGGAAGUGUGAGACCGGGGACUGUGGUGGCCUCCUCCAAUGCACGGCCUAUGGUACACCCCCUAACACCUUAGCCGAAUUCGCACUUAACCAAUACAGCAACUUGGACUUCUUUGAUAUAUCUUUGGUUGAUGGAUUUAAUGUUGCUAUGGCCUUUAAUCCUACUUCCAAUGGGUGCACCCGUGGCAUCAGUUGCACCGCCGACAUCGUGGGAGAGUGCCCCGCUGCGCUAAAGACUACCGGUGGUUGCAACAACCCAUGCACCGUUUUCAAGACCGAUGAAUAUUGUUGCAAUUCUGGGAGCUGUAAUGCUACAACUUACUCCGAGUUUUUCAAGACUAGGUGCCCUGAUGCUUAUAGCUACCCUAAGGACGAUCAGACAAGCACCUUCACAUGCCCUUCCGGGACCAAUUAUGAAGUUAUCUUCUGCCCAUAAAUCUAUUAUUUAAAUCAUAUGCUAGUAUGCCUCUACUGGUCUCAACUAUUAGGAGGCAAUGGUAUCCACCUUGGGUUCCAAAAGCCUAGAGGAAUAAAGUUGAGCCCAUAUUCGUGGUCAUGUAUUAAGAUUUCUACACUAGUCGAAGCAAUGGAUGCCUUUUUUUAUAUAGAUAUAUGCUAUCUUCUUCUUCUAAUCUCUGUGGUCCCUUCCAAGUAACAUUUCAUAUAGAUAUAUGAAUUUUAAUGAUUAUUCUUCUUCAGAAUUCUUUUUUUUUUUUUUUUUGAAAAUGAAAUUAAGCUUAACAUGAACAAAAUUCUGCUAUCAUGGUACGGAGAAAUCUUUGCUUGAGAGCGGUGGUUGAGGAUUGAGUCACCUACCCAAGUCAAAUUUUUGUAACAAUUAGAUGUUCAUCUUUAGAGUACUACAAGGAAAAUUGAUGUGAGGAUAAAGACCAGUUAACGAAGCUUGACUGACGUCAAAAUUUUAUUUUAUUUCCUUUUCUCUAAUCCUACCUUGUAGCGGUCCAAAUUAAUUGUCUUGACAAGGAAAUAUAACACAUAGCCAAGGAGGAUUUGCCUAAAAGCCAUCAUCCUGUUUGAAAACUACCUCCCUUAUUGUGCACAUGACACUUUUUCUAAGGGGAAUAAUCCAACCAUACAUUGGACCAAUAAAAUAAGUAUUUUUGGGAUUUUAUUUUUACCUUCACAAAUUGAGUGCGUAAAGUGCGGGGGAAAAAAACUCAUUCAUGCAUUUCAAUAACACUUGUGAAUUUAUUCCAAAAUUACAUUCAAAGUACACCUAUCAUUUUUUUUUACAUCAACUCUCUCACACCUCCAUUUCACCCGCCAUGUUCAUACGGUUUUUUUAUCUCUCACCAACAUAUUCAUAGUCUCAUGUAUUUUCUUAUAAAACAUCUUUAAUUUCAAUUUUUUUUUCACUCUCUAAUCUCUCCAUAUUUAUUGAUUUUAAUCAUUUUUUAGACACAUUAAACUUAAAAUGAUAAUAUAUAAUAAAUAAUUAAUAAUAAAAAAUUAAAUAAAAACAUAAUAUUUAAUGAACAAAAAUUAAAAUAUUAUCUCACAAAUAAUAUACUUGAUAAUUUUAAAUAUUAAUUAUAAUAAUGUUUAAGAUUUAAAUUUAAAAAUUAUGUUUUUAUUAUUUAGAGGCUUAUGAUAUAAUUUUUUUUAUAUUAAUACUAAAUAAAAGAUUUAUUGAUUUUGUAAAUCUUAUCAUACGUAAAAGUAAAAAAUAUCUUUGUAAUAUUAUUUUAUUAUUUUUAUUUUGAUAUAAAAUUUUUCAUUUGUAAUAUUAUUUUAUUAUUUUUAUUUUGAUAUAAAAUUUUUCAUAUCAAAAUCACAAUAAGUGAUAGUAGUUUUUUUUUUGUUAUGGUUUUAAUUGUGGUUUUAACUUUUUACUUGGUUAAAUUUUUUAAUUUUUUAUCAAGAUAAAAUAUAAAAGAAAAUAUGUUUUUUCAUAAAAAAAAAAUACAUUGUUUUAGGGAAAUUGAGAUACUUAUCUCUUUUAUCAUGAUGCAUAUACUCCUUUUGGAAUUCUCGGGAAGUGUUUUUAAAUUCUCUCCCACCUCGAAAAAGACUUUGAAACUUCAAGUAAGAAAAAUAAAUACAUCCUUUAAGAAAAAUGGAUUUUCUUUGAAUUGGUUGCCUCACAAUAUUUUAAAUGAUAAAGACUAAAAUUCAAUUAUGAUAUUAUCGAAAAUAGUCCCAAUCUAACGACUAGUCAAGAUAUUUGAAGUGGCCAAUCGUAUUGGAAGAAUUCCAGGAAGGUGCUCAACAGGGUUGUCUCAUUCAAAUAAGGAAAUUUGAAAUAAAUUUUCUCAAUACCAUGCACCCACGUUUUCUAGAUACAUUCCUACUGUUCUCAGAAUUGAGUGCUCAUGAAUUUACAUAGAAGUUAGGCAGAUUUCUGGAAAUAAUAAAAAUGAUAAUCACGUAGAACCUUGUCUCUGUAAAUUAUUUUAAAUAAAAAAUACUUAUUUUUCUAAAAAUAAGUAUUUUCAAAAUGUAAUAUAUGUUUUUUUUUUUUUUAAAUAAUAAUAAUUUACAAGCUUUUUUAUUUUUAUUUCUUAAAAAAAUUAUGGGCUUUUGUUGAUAAGAUUUGAGGAAAAACAAAAAGGGCCACACUACAUUGACUCUUCCAUGCCUACAGGCCACAACGAAGUCGACCACAAAGAUGACGCCAUCUUUUGGAAUUUUUACAGGACGGUUUUUCCACAUACACACCAACCCAAGCCCACCUUCACCCUAUAUAAACCCCCACCCAUUUCCUCACAGAUCACCCCACUCCAACCAUCAAGCCUAUCUUCCGAUCCUCAACAAUGGGCCUCUGCAAAAUCCUCUCCAUUUCCUCAUUCCUUCUCACCGCCCUAUUCUUCACCCCCAGCUAUGCAGCCACCUUCAACAUCCAAAACCAUUGCUCCUACACGGUUUGGGCUGCGGCAGUCCCAGGCGGGGGCAUGCAGCUUGGCUCAGGCCAAUCCUGGAGCCUCAAUGUGAAUGCCGGCACCACUGGAGGCCGUGUUUGGGCCCGUACCAACUGCAACUUCGAUGCAUCAGGGAAUGGGAAGUGUGAGACCGGGGACUGUGGUGGCCUCCUCCAAUGCACGGCCUAUGGUACACCCCCUAACACCUUAGCCGAAUUCGCACUUAACCAAUUCAGCAACUUGGACUUCUUUGAUAUAUCUUUGGUUGAUGGAUUUAAUGUGCCUAUGGCCUUUAAUCCUACUUCCAAUGGGUGCACCCGUGGCAUCAGUUGCACCGCCGACAUCGUGGGAGAGUGCCCCGCUGCGCUAAAGACUACCGGUGGUUGCAACAACCCAUGCACCGUUUUCAAGACCGAUGAAUAUUGUUGCAAUUCUGGGAGCUGUAGUGCUACAGAUUACUCAAGGUUUUUCAAGACUAGGUGCCCUGAUGCUUAUAGCUACCCUAAGGACGAUCAGACAAGCACCUUCACAUGCACUGCCGGUACCAAUUAUGAAGUUGUCUUCUGCCCAUAAAUCUAUUAUUUAAAUCAUAUGCUAGUAUGCCUCUACUAGUCUCAACUAUUAGGAGGCAAUGGUUUCCACCUUGGGUUCCAAAAGCCUAGAGGAAUAAAGUUGGGCACAUUUUCGUGGUCAUGUAACAAGAUUUCUACACUAGUAGAAGUAAUGGAUGUUUUUUUUUUUUAUAUAUAUAUAUAUAUAUAUAGAUUUAUGCGAUCUUCUUUCUUUCUAACCUCUAUGGUCCCGUCCAAGUAAUAUUUCAUAUAUAUUUUAUUCUAUAUAAUAUCUGCGGAUAAGAUCGGUUAAUGAAGCUUGACUAAAGUCAAAAUUUUAUUUUAUUUCAUUAUCCUACUUGGAAACUACCUUCCUUACUGGGUACAUGGCAUUUUUUUUUUAAUAAUAUUUGACUCAGGUUUCCGAGAAAACAUUGUAGCAGUCCAAACACGGCGUAAAUUGGGACUUUUCUCAAUAGUAGAGUAAUUUAAAAAAGUUAUUCUUCAAUUACUGUAGUGGAAGAAGUUAUUACAAAUAUAGGGUAGUUUUUGCCAGAUAGGAGAGAGGAGAGAGGAGAGAGGGUGAGAGAGAGGAGAGAGGAAAGAGGAGAUAGGAGAGAGGAGAGAGGAGAGAGGGUGAACGGGUAAAAUUUUUUAAAAAAGGGAACUCGUCUCUUGAAGAGACGAGUUCCAUGAAAAAAAAUAUAUAUAUAAUUUUUAAAAAAUUCUCAAAUUAAAAAAAAAAAAAUUGGAACUAAAGGCUUGACACGAGUUCCCAUGGGAAAAAUAUAUAUUAUUUAUUUAAAAUAUAUUUUUCAUUUAAAAAAAAUCCCAAAAAAAAUAAAAAAUAAAAUUUCUAAAAGGAACUCGUCUCUUUUUUAAAAAAAAUAUAUUUUUUAUUUUAAAAUCCCAAAUUUAAAAAAAAAAAACGCAAUUCCAAAAGGAACUCGUCUCUUUAAAAAUAUAUAUAUUUAAAAAAAAAAAUUCCUAAAGGGAACUCGUCUCUUGAAGAGACGAGUUCCCUUUAGGAAAAAAAAUAUUUUGUUUUUAAAAUAUAUUUUUUAUUUUAAAAAAUCCCAAAUAAAAAAAAAUAAAAAAUAAAAAACAAUUCCAAAGGGAACUCGUCUCUUCAAGAGACGAGUUCCCAUGUAAAAAAAAAUAUUUUUUUAAAAAAUAUAUAUAUUUAAAAAAAAAAAUUCAGAGUUACUUUAGGAAAAAAAAUAUUUUUUUUUUAAAAUAUAUUUUUUAUUUUAAAAAAUCCCAAAUUUAAAAAAAAAAAAACACAAUUCCAAAGGGAACUCGUCUCUUCAAGAGACGAGUUCCCAUGUAAAAAAAAUAUUUUUUUUAAAUAUAUAUAUUAAAAAAAAAAAAACAAUUCCUCAAAAUUCCUAAAGGAACUCGUCUNNNNNNNNNNNNNNNNNNNNNNNNNNNNNNNNNNNNNNNNNNNNNNNNNNNNNNNNNNNNNNNNNNNNNNNNNNNNNNNNNNNNNNNNNNNNNNNNNNNNAAAGGAACUCGUCUUUUGGAAGAGAACGAGUUCCCAUGUAAAAAAAAAAAAAAAUUUUAAAAAAAAUAUAUAUUUAAAAAAAUAAAAAUUCAGGGUUCCCUUUAGGAAAAAAAAUAAUUUUUUUUUAAAAAAAAUAUUUUUUUUUUUAAAAAAUCCCCAAUUAAAAAAAAAAAAAAAAAAAAAAAACCCAAUUCCAAAGGGAACUCGUCUCUUCAAGAGACGAGUUCCCUUGUAAAAAAAAUUAUUAUUUUUAAAUAUAUAUAUAUUAAAAAAAAAAAAAAAAAAAAACAAUUCCUCAAAAUUCCUAAAGGAACUCGUCUCUUCAAGAGACGAGUUCCCAUAUAAAAAAAAAAAUUAAAAAAAAAUAUAUAUUUAAAAAAAUAAAAAUUCAGAGUUCCCUUAGGAAAAAUAAUAAUUUUUUAAAAAAAUAUAUUUUUUAUUUUAAAAAAUCCCAAAUUAAAAAAAAAAAAAAAAAAAAAAAACACAAUUCCAAAGGGAACUCGUCUCUUAUUUUUUUUUUUUCCAUAGGAACUCGUCUCUUCAAUAGACGAGUUCCCUUGAUGAAUUGUUUUUUUUUUUUUUUUUUUUAAAUAUAUUUUUUUAAAAAAAAUUUGUUUUUACGUGGGAACUCAUCUUAAAGAGACGAGUUCCCUUGAGGAAUUGUUUUUUUAUUUUAUUUUAUAUUUUAUUUUAAUAUAUAUAUUUUAAAAUAAAAAAUAUUUUUAAGAGACGAGUUCCUUUGGAAUUGUGUUUUUUUUUUUUUUUUUUAAUUUGGGAUUUUUUAAAUUUUUUAAAAAAAUAAUUUUUUUUCCUAAAGGGAAUUCUGAAUUUUUAAUUUUUUAAAUAUAUAUAUUUAAAAAUUUUUUUUUUUUUAAAAAACAAAAAUUUUUUUUAAAAAAUAUAUAUAUUUAAAAAAAAAUUAUAUUUUUUNNNNNNNNNNNNNNNNNNNNNNNNNNNNNNNNNNNNNNNNNNNNNNNNNNNNNNNNNNNNNNNNNNNNNNNNNNNNNNNNNNNNNNNCGUCUCUUCAAGAGACGAGUUCCCUUUGGAAUUGUGUUUUUUUUUUUUUUUUUUCUUUUUUUUAAUUUGGGAUUUUUUAAAAUAAAAAAUAUUUUUUUUUUCCUAAAGGGAACUCUGAAUUUUUUUUUUAAAUAUAUAUAUAUUUUUUAAAAAAAUAUUUUUAAAAAAAAAAUAUUUUUUUUUGUUUUUUUUUUUUUAAUUUGGGAUUUUUUAAAAUAAAAAAUAUAUUUUAAAAAAAAAAUAUUUUUUUUCCUAAAGGGAACUCGUCUCUUCAAAAAACAAGUUACCUUUAGGAAUUUUUUUUUUAAAUAUAUAUAUUUUAAAAAAAAAAUAUUUUUUUUACAUGGGAACUCGUCUCUUCAAAAGACGAGUUCCUUUUGGAAUUGUGUUUUUUUUUUUUUUUUUUUUAAUUUAGGAUUUUUUAAAAUAAAAAAUAUAUUUUUAAAAAAAAUUAUUUUUUUUCCCAAGGAACUCGUCUCUUGAAGAGACGAGUUCCCUUUAGAAAUUUUUUUUUUUUUUUUUUGGAUUUUUUUAAAUAAAAAAUAUAUUUUAAAUAAAUAAUAUAUUUUUUUUCCCAGGGAACUCGUCUGAAGCCUUUAGUUCCAAAUUUUUUUUUUUAAUUUGAGAAUUUUUUAAAAAUUAUAUAUAUAUAUUUUUUCAUGGAACUCGUCUCUUCAAGAGACGAGUUCCCUUUUUUAAAAAAUUUUACCCGUUCAUCCUCUCUCCUCUCUCCUAUCUCCUCUUUCCUCUCUCCUCUCUCCUCUCUCUCACCCUCUCUCCUCUCUCCUCUCUCCUCUCUCCUAUGUGGCAAAAACUACCCUAUAUUUGUAAUAACUUCUUCCACUACAGUAAUUGAAGAAUAACUUUUUUAAAUUACUCUACUAUUGAGAAAAGUCCGCGUAAAUUGUCAUAGCCCUUUAUUGCAGAGAAUAGUGGAAAAGAAAGUUGUUAAAAGUGGCAUAAGUAAUUCAAACCAUAACCCUAUAUUGAGGAGAGUUAUGACUUAUGACACAUAAAUAUUGAAGUUCCACUUGUCUAUCAAUUAAAUAAAUAUAUGUUUUAAUUUAUUUUUGUAAAAAAAAUCAAUAAGAUUUUUAAUAUUUAUUUUACUAAUUUUAUUUAAAGAACUUAUGAUUUAAAAACGAGUUUAAUAUGAUUUAGAUAAGAAAUAUUUUAAUAUUUAAUAUAAAUUUUAUAAUACUAAUAUUACCUAUUAAAAAUUAAGAUUUUGGUUGCACCAUCAACAUUUAGUUAAAUCUAAAAAUAAAAAACUAUUUCAAACAAAGCUUUAUUUAUUCAUCUAUCAUGCUAAUGGAGCCUCAGAAGUUAAAAAGAUUAACUGGGCCAUGGUUAUAGAAGCCCAAAAGAUUUAUUGAUGGGGCGGAGCAGGUGGGCCUGGCCUGCCAUGUGCAGCUGUAUUUUUUUGACUUGUCUUCAAGACAACAAGUCAACGCCUCCGUUCAAUGAAGCGGAUGUAUCGGAAAAACCCAAAAGCUUCAUUUUCCCCUCAAAACGCGUAAACCCCAAAAUGAGCUUCUUCUGCAACUGCAGCAACCUCUCUACUUCCUUCUGCCUCCUCAUCCUCCCGUUCUUCUUCACCUUCAUCCAUGCAACCACUUUCGAAAUCCAAAACAGCUGCCCCUACACCAUCUGGGCAGCCGCCGUACCCGGCGGCGGAAGGCAACUCGACCAAGGCCAGACCUGGAACCUUUCAGUGAGCUCCAACAUAACGGGCCGCAUCUGGGGCAGAACCAAGUGCAGCUUCGAUGAAGCCGGAAGGGGGAGCUGCGAGUCCGGUGGAUGUGGAGGCCUCCUUGAAUGCCAAGAAUAUGGUUCACCGCCCAACACCAUUGCCGAGUACACCCUAAACCAAUCCAACAAAACUGAUUUAUUCGAUGUUUCUCUGGUGGAUGGAUUCAACCUUCCAAUGGAGUUUAGCCCAACUUCUGAUGGGUGCAGAGGGGCCAAUUGUACAGGCGACAUUAACGGGCCGUGCCCAAAUGAGUUGAGGGACCCGGGUGGGUGUAACAACCCAUGUACCGUUUUCAAAAAUUCUCAGUACUGUUGCGAUUCCGGGAGCUGUGGCCCUACAACUUACUCCGAGUUUUUCAAGGAUAGGUGCCCAAAUGCAUACAGUUACCCUGAGGAUGAUUCAACCAGUUUGUUUACGUGCUCCACUGGCUCUAACUAUCGUGUAGUCUUCUGCCCUUGAAUUAUGGGUUGCUAUUAAUUGUUUGAAGUAUUUUCUGAAUUGCCGUGUAAUUUUAUGCUAUGAGGGUAUUUCUUCCUAAGUUUUGUUGGAUGAUCCGUUGAAAUAAAUACUCGAUAACUUCUGUAUUAUUUUAAAAAGUAAUGUAUCAAUAUGCCCAUUUUUAAAAGCUAUAGUGUUAUAAAUUUCAAACUCUUUAAAAUUUUGAGAGAUGAUACUAAGAACUAGCAUACUUUUGUAAAAGAAGUCAUAAAAGGAGAGUCAUCUAAAAAUUUUAAACUUUUAAAAUUUUUCACUAAAACCAAUGUCUCUCUCCGCUUGUUGACUCGUCUGGAAGUCAAGUCCAACGACCCCAUAGCCGUCAACCGAAACCGUUCAUGAAAAAUCUGAUCACCUUCCUCGCCAAAAUGCCAAAAUCCCAAGAUGACUUUCUUCAGCAGCUGCAACAACCUCUCCACUUCCUUCUUCCUCCUCAUCACCACUCUCUUCUUCACCUUCCUCCACGCUUCCGCGCUUCCACCUUCCACAUCCAAAACAACUGCCACUUCACCCUGUGGGCCGCGCACGGCCGUUCCCCGCGGCGGAACGCAACUCUGAUGGGUGGGCCAAAAAAUUCCCAAAUUAUUGGGAGUGGGCCUUUAUAAGUCCCAAAUUGCUAGGGGUGGGCCAAUGGGUAGUGAUGAUGUCAUAGUGCUCUAGCCCAAUUUUUUUUUAAAAUAAACAAAUAAAGGAUUGUAAUCAGUUUAAAAUGUUGAUAUACGGACAAAAAUUGAACAUUCAGACUAAUAAAAGUUAAUAAAUCCCAUACCAAUUGUUACUAAAUUUAAAAUCUAUUUAUCUAAUGAAAAAAUUUAGAGAAGUUAAAAAACUUUAACAAAAAUAGGUAUAAUUCCAAUAGAGAUUAUAUUUGACAAUUUUUCAUACUAGUUCAUGGACAGAUAAUGAAAGAAAAGUUGAAUCAUAUUUUGUUUAAUUUACUCUUCUUUUUUUUUAAUAUUUUUAAAAUUAUAUAUAUUUUUCAUUUCUCCGUAUUUUCCCUUUUUUCUCUAAAAAAAUAUGUGAAUAUAACUUUGUUCAUUUACAAUUAAUAAUGUCUUUUUCCGCUAGUUUUCUCCAAGUGAACGAUAAAUGUACUUGCAACAAAGUGUGUUCAAAUUAUUUUUUCGGGUAUUUUUUUUGAAGCUUAAGUUCAUUUUUAGAAGAAAUAGAUAAUAGUUUUAUUAUAAUAGAGUUGUAAUGUUUUAUGUAUUUUUUUAAUACUUUAAACGUCUGUAAUUGACCUUGAAAAUAACAGUUUUUGAGCUUAUAGUAAGACGUUUAUACUUGUGGAGGCAUCCGAUCUAAUGAUUUGAAAUAUUUAUUAUUUGCGCAGUGAAUAAAGACGUUGAUAGGAUAUCCUUUUAUCAUUUUAAUAUUUCGACGGAGAGAGGCUUUUAUCCAGAUGGAUGUAGGACCCACAGACUUCUCAUUAAUUUUUGAUAAUUAUUUUAUAUUUUAUUUUAUUUUUAAAAAAUUGUUUUCAAAUGACAUCGUCAAAUAGGCUGUUCGUAAUCAUCACUUCCAAUGCAACAUCUUUCGUUGAAUGGAAACUCAGAAAAUCUAAAGUAUCAUCGUAAAAUUCAUGAGGAAUAUGCCAGAAGAUGACCGUUUCAAACCUUUUAUAAUAUUAUUAUAUUUUCUGUAUUUUCUUUCCGCAAAUUUUCCUGAACUAAACACGAGUGAUAAACUACACCUUGAUUUGCGGGGAAAAUCCAUUGGCUAGAGAUUGACUGAAAGCCAAAACUUAGGCUUCGUUGCAAGACAUUUUGGCAGCCAACGACUCAGGCAAACACCGUAAAAGUCUAAAGAGACGCUGUCCGCCCAAACAAUCCACAAAUCUCUUAUCUUUUUAUCAUCUAAUACUCGGAUUCUAGAAAAGUCUACUGUAUCUCUUAGGUUAUAUUUAGUUUCGAAAAAUACAAAAGAAAGAAAAAAAAUAUUAAAAAAAAUAAUUUUUUCAUAUUCGAUUGUCUUAUAAAUUAUUUUAAAAAAAAUUAAAUAUGAUUAAAAUUAAUUAAAAAUUUAUGGAUUUUAAAAUUAUUUAAUCUUUAUAUUGAUGAGUUAAAAUAAAUAAAAAUAAUUUUUCAUCUUUUAACUCUAUUUUUUAUUUUUCUUCAUUUUUUUCUUUUAUUUUUUUUCUUUUUUUUCUUUUUCUUUUUUAUAUAUAUUUUCCCUUAAAUUUUAUGAGAACCACAUAUAAUCUUAAAAUUUUAAUAAUUUUAAUUUAUCAUUCUAAUCAUUCUAGAAAAUUUCAUCAUUAAAAAAUGUAAGAAAAAAAAAUUAGGGUGAAUAAAUUAUUUUUAUAUAUUAUUUUAAACUUAUUUUAUUUAUUUUAAAUUUUAAUAUAAAAAUUGUAUGAGCUUGUAAUUAAAUUUAUUUUAUUAAUUUUUUUUUAUAAUAUAGUCAAACAUAUAUAAAAAAAAAUCAAUUUUAUUAACAAUUUUUUUCUUUUCUUCAUUGAUUUGCUCCUGACGCCAUUUCAUCUAGAAUGGCAUAGAUAAUUUAAAGCAACAGUCAAAGGUCAUCCAAAAAAUUGAACAUGAUAGGUUGUUCAAAUGCAAGUUUACCGGUUCCCCGGAUUCUUCUAAGUUCUGGCAGCUUGACUUCACUUCCGCAUUCUGCAUUGGAGAUGUCACAGAUGUAUGGCCAUGAUUAAUGCCGUUCUCUUCAGUCAUUCCUAUGUGUGUGGACGCGUGAUGAAUUGGAAUCUAAGCAGGAAAGAUGCACGCUCCAUUCAAGUCACGUUUUCUCGUGGGAGGAUUGUCUUGAUUUUAUUAUGCGUGUAUUCUCCUGACUCUACCAUGGCCACUUGGCUUGCCAAGUCUAGAGUAAAGCCAUGAGUGGACAAUUCCAUUUCUUUCUUCAUCUUUUUCCACGGAAUCAAGUCCAACAAAAUGCUGAAAUUUCUAUUCGAAUUAACCCACUUCUCACGUAAUCUCCCAAACCAUUGCCACCAUUCAUCUAUAAAAACCCUACCAUACAUGCAUCUCCAAAACAUCAAUUAACCCAAACCCAUGUUAGUGCUCUGUCUUGGCUUGCCCUGUUUAAGAACAUUCUCUUUUAUAUAUAUUGUUAUACAACUUUCUACGUGAUAUGUUCUCAUUGGUUUAAUGUAUUACUAAAAAAUGUUCUUCAGGAUUUUGGAUGAGGUUGUGUUUGCAUUAACAUGAUCACUUUCAAAUUAUUUUUUGUAGGCAUGGUUCGUGCAGCUAUCAAGUACAAAUAGUUUGUGUAACUGGAUGUUGAUCGUCAUCUUCAUUGUGGUUACUUUUAAUAUCACUUUGUCUAAAUUAUUCUAAGACUAAACAUGAAAGUUCAAUAUCAUUUUGUUUAAAAUAGUAUAAGAAGGAACAUUGAAUAUGCAAAACAUUCAUACGAAGGACAAUCCGAUAGAUGCCUUAAUAAAAUCAAUUAACACUGAUAAAUUCAAUUAGUGCAAAUCCUCUUUUGAUUUCACAAUAACAUAAGCAACAUAUGAUAGGGUAAAACUUAGAAAUAUGAUUUCAAGUGAAAUAAUAUUAACGUUAAAGUCAUCUCACAUAAGAAAAAAAAAGAAAAAAAAAAGAGCUUCUUUAUGCUAUCUGAGGGGCAUCCAUCCUUGAUAUUCUUCAUCCUAAAAAAAACUUUUAUUUUUUUGCAAGUUUUUAUGUUAUCUCCUCUAAAUCGUAAAAAGAGAGGUUACAAUUUUGUAUUUAUAUGAUGAAUAUUUUUUAGUUUUGUUCUUUGGGUUUCCUUCAUAAUUAAAAGGGUUUAAUAUGUAAGUAUUUUUAAUUAUUUUAUUUAUUCUAUUACAUUAUUAUUUUAUUAUUCUAUUUUUAAAUUAUGGGAGCAUCAUUUCAAAACACUACCUUUAAAAAAAUAAAUAAAAAUAUAGUUUUUUAUAUUUGAGAUUUUAAACAAAAUUUUAUUUAUAAAAAUAAUUAAAAUUACGUUUUGCCUAACAUGCGUACGUUGUAGUCAUCCGCGGAGUUGGUUCGAGAGGACAUUGGAAAAUCACACAAAGUGAUCAUGUGCCUUUAAUUGGAAAAUAAACAGUGGAUUUUCUCUUCUCUAGAAUUGGUUGCUUCUCAGAUAAAGGUCAAAAUUCAAUUAUGAUAUUAUGGAAAAUAGUCCCAGUCGAACCAAUUUUCAAGGCAUUUGAAGUGGCCAUUCAUUCAAGAAAGGAAGUUUGAAAUAAAUUUUUCCAACGCAACGCGGCACGCACCCGGCCAUGUUUUCAAGAUGCCUUCCUACCUGUCCUCAGAAUUCAGUAUUCAUGAAUUUCCAUAAAAGUUAGACAGGUUUCUGAAAAUAAUAAAAAUGAUAAUGAUGUGGACCCCUUGAAAUAAAUUCAGUAUUCAUGAAUGGGCAAUUCUGGUUCUUUCAUCAUCUUUUUAUCUGUAAUCAAUCAUCCAAUCAAGUCCAACAAAAUGCUGAAAUUUCCAUUCGAAUUAACCCACUUCUCACGUAAUCUCCCAAACCAUAGCCACCCUUCAUCUAUAAAAACCCCACCAUACAUCCAUCUCCAAGACACCGCAUUAGCCCAAACCCAUAAGAAUUCUAAAUACUUCGAUUCUGAUCAUCUGAUUCAUUCAACAUCAAAAUGCGCUUCACCACCACCCUCCCAAUUCUCUUCCCUCUCCUCCUCAGCCUCCUCUUUACCUCCACCCAUGCAGCCACCUUCGACAUCCUCAACAAAUGCACCUACACCGUCUGGGCAGCCGCCUCCCCCGGUGGUGGACGGAGACUUGACUCCGGCCAGUCCUGGACAAUCACCGUCAACCCCGGCACCACCAAUGCUCGCAUCUGGGGCCGAACCUCAUGCACCUUCGACGCCAAUGGGCGUGGCAAAUGCGAAACUGGUGACUGCAAUGGCCUCCUCGAAUGCCAGGGCUACGGUUCUCCCCCAAACACCCUCGCUGAAUUCGCUCUAAACCAGCCCAAUAACCUCGACUACAUCGACAUCUCCCUUGUCGAUGGCUUCAACAUCCCCAUGGACUUCAGCGGCUGCCGC
This 20427-nucleotide long non-coding RNA is filed under the name Vitis vinifera (wine grape). RNAcentral describes it as "long non-coding RNA (VVIN_LNC000377)". Lineage: Eukaryota; Viridiplantae; Streptophyta; Magnoliopsida; Vitales; Vitaceae. The record is from RNAcentral.